GUGUGUUUUUUUUUAAUUUCAAAAUCUUAUAUUUAAAGAAUAUUUAAUAAACAAUAACCAAGUAACUUCUUAUCAAACUAAAUUAAUUAUUUUCCCCCUAUGUUUCUUUUUAUAAAACAAGUAUUUGUUUAACAAAGCAAUUACAGACAUAGUGAUAUCAGAAUUUCUUGGAAAUUGUAUGGCCAUAUUAGUCUUGAUAUAUUUGGGAUGAACACAAAUAAAUAUCACAUUACCUCCAUGUUGUACACAACUAAUUUAUAAAAUAAAACUUCCUCAAUAAUAACUAAGUAUUAUUAUUAUUUGAGAUCA
RNAcentral lists this long non-coding RNA (309 nucleotides) under Mytilus galloprovincialis (Mediterranean mussel). Lineage: Eukaryota; Metazoa; Mollusca; Bivalvia; Mytilida; Mytilidae. The record is from RNAcentral.